GGGUUGUGAGGUUAAGCGACUAAGCGUACACGGUGGAUGCCUAGGCAAUCAGAGGCGAUGAAGGACGUGCUAAUCUGCGAUAAGCGUCGGUAAGGUGAUAUGAACCGUUAUAACCGACGAUUUCCGAAUGGGGAAACCCAGUGCAAUUCGUUGCACUAUCGUUUGAUGAAUACAUAGUCAAACGAAGCGAACCGAGGGAACUGAAACAUCUCAGUACCUCGAGGAAAAGAAAUCAACCGAGAUUCCCCUAGUAGCGGCGAGCGAACGGGGAGCAGCCCAGAGUCUUAAUCAGCAUUAGCAUCAGGAGAACGGUCUGGAAAGGCCGGCAGUAAAGGGUGAUAGCCCCGUAUCCGAAGGUGUUAGUGUUGUGAACUCGACGAGUAGGGCGGGACACGUGUUAUCCUGUCUGAAUAUGGGGGGACCAUCCUCCAAGGCUAAAUACUCCUGAUUGACCGAUAGUGAACCAGUACCGUGAGGGAAAGGCGAA
RNAcentral lists this ribosomal RNA (487 nucleotides) under Salmonella enterica subsp. enterica serovar Enteritidis. RNAcentral's name for it is "partial 23S ribosomal RNA". It matches the Rfam family "Bacterial large subunit ribosomal RNA", at positions 1 to 518 of the family's 2925-position model. The record is from RNAcentral. Lineage: Bacteria; Pseudomonadati; Pseudomonadota; Gammaproteobacteria; Enterobacterales; Enterobacteriaceae.